UUUAAUUGAAGAGUUUGAUCAUGGCUCAGAUUGAACGCUGGCGGCAGGCCUAACACAUGCAAGUCGAGCGGCAGCACAAGUAAGUUUACUUAUGAGGUGGCGAGCGGCGGACGGGUGAGUAAUGCCUAGGGAUCUGCCCAGUCGAGGGGGAUAACAGUUGGAAACGACUGCUAAUACCGCAUACGCCCUACGGGGGAAAG
Molecule: ribosomal RNA, 200 nt
Filed under: Shewanella xiamenensis
Lineage: Bacteria; Pseudomonadati; Pseudomonadota; Gammaproteobacteria; Alteromonadales; Shewanellaceae
Description: partial 16S ribosomal RNA
Rfam family: Bacterial small subunit ribosomal RNA
Source: RNAcentral